CUGCUCACUUCAGCAACACCUAUCCUAAAACUGGAACGACACAGAGAUUAGCGUGGCCUCUGCACGAGGAUGACACAAAAAUUCAUGAAGUGUUCUGUAGUUUU
This is a small nuclear RNA of Macaca fascicularis (crab-eating macaque), 104 nucleotides long. Lineage: Eukaryota; Metazoa; Chordata; Mammalia; Primates; Cercopithecidae. The record is from Ensembl.